UGCCAGCAGCCGCGGUAAUACGAAAGGGGCAAACGUUAUUCAGAAUAAUUGGGCGUAAAGAGUUCGUAGGCAGUUUGUGCAGUUGUUAGUAAAAAAUUAAGGCUUAACCUUAAAAACGCUUUCAAAACCAACAAACUUGAGUUUAAAAGAGGAUAGUGGAAUUUUUAAUGUAGGGGUAAAAUCCACAGAUAUUAAAAGGAACACCAGAGGCGAAAGCGACUAUCUGGUUUAAAACUGACGCUGAGGAACGAAAGCAUGGUGAGCAAACAGGAUUAGAUA
RNAcentral lists this ribosomal RNA (279 nucleotides) under uncultured bacterium. RNAcentral describes it as "partial 16S ribosomal RNA". It matches the Rfam family "Bacterial small subunit ribosomal RNA", at positions 506 to 784 of the family's 1533-position model. The record is from RNAcentral.